GGGGUUGUAGCUUAGUGGUAGAGUGCUUGCCUAGCACAAGCAAGGCAUUGGGUUUGAUCCUCAGCACUACA
RNAcentral lists this transfer RNA (71 nucleotides) under Marmota monax (woodchuck). RNAcentral's name for it is "tRNA.Ala". The record is from RNAcentral. Lineage: Eukaryota; Metazoa; Chordata; Mammalia; Rodentia; Sciuridae.